UGCUAGGAUGGGCUAGGUAUCACUGUAGGA
This 30-nucleotide non-coding RNA is filed under the name Homo sapiens (human). Lineage: Eukaryota; Metazoa; Chordata; Mammalia; Primates; Hominidae. The record is from RNAcentral.